Molecule: transfer RNA, 68 nt
Filed under: Dendrolimus houi
Lineage: Eukaryota; Metazoa; Arthropoda; Insecta; Lepidoptera; Lasiocampidae
Description: tRNA-Ala
Rfam family: tRNA
About the family: Transfer RNA (tRNA) molecules are approximately 80 nucleotides in length. Their secondary structure includes four short double-helical elements and three loops (D, anti-codon, and T loops).
Source: RNAcentral
AGGAUUAUAAUUUAUAAUAAAAUACUUGAUUUGCAAUCAAAAAAUAUUGAUUUAAUCAAUUUAUCUUA